Molecule: ribosomal RNA, 424 nt
Filed under: uncultured bacterium
Lineage: Bacteria
Description: bacterial SSU rRNA
Rfam family: Bacterial small subunit ribosomal RNA
Source: RNAcentral
AGGGAAUCUUCCGCAAUGGACGAAAGUCUGACGGAGCAACGCCGCGUGAGUGAUGAAGGUUCUCGGAUCGUAAAGCUCUGUUGCCAGGGACGAAUAAGCCAGAGAGUAACUGCUCUGGUGAUGACGGUACCUGAGAAGAAAGCCCCGGCUAACUACGUGCCAGCAGCCGCGGUAAUACGUAGGGGGCAAGCGUUGUCCGGAAUUAUUGGGCGUAAAGCGCGCGCAGGCGGCUGUUUAAGUUUGGUGUUUAAGCCCAGGGCUCAACCCUGGUACGCACUGAAAACUGGGCAGCUUGAGUACAGAAGAGGAGAGUGGAAUUCCAUGUGUAGCGGUGAAAUGCGUAGAGAUAUGGAGGAACACCAGUGGCGAAGGCGACUCUCUGGUCUGAAACUGACGCUGAGGCGCGAAAGCGUGGGGAGCAAAC